AUUGAACGCUGGCGGCAGGCCUAACACAUGCAAGUCGAACGGUAACAGGAAGAAGCUUUGUUCUUUGCUGACGCGAGGGGCACGGGUGUGAGGUGUCUGUGAAACUCCCUGUUGGAGGGGGGGAACUACUGGAAACGGUAGCUAAAACACCAUAACGUCGCAACGGCAAAAAGCAGUACAUCUGGGCAUCUUGCCAUCGGAUGUGCCCAGAUGGGAUUAGCUAGUAGGUGGGGUAACGGCUCACCUAGGCGACGAUCCCUAGCUGGUCUGAGAGGAUGACCAGCCACACUGGAACUGAGACACGGUCCAGACUCCUACGGGAGGCAGCAGUGGGGAAUAUUGCACAAUGGGCGCAAGCCUGAUGCAGCCAUGCCGCGUGGAUGAAGAAGGCCUUCGGGUUGUAAAGUACUUUCGGCGGGGAAGAAGAGAGGAAAGUUAAUACCUUGGCUCAUUGACGUUACCCGCAGAAGAAGCACCGGCUAACUCCGUG
RNAcentral lists this ribosomal RNA (490 nucleotides) under uncultured bacterium. RNAcentral describes it as "partial 16S ribosomal RNA". It matches the Rfam family "Bacterial small subunit ribosomal RNA", at positions 30 to 507 of the family's 1533-position model. The record is from RNAcentral.